RNAcentral lists this unclassified non-coding RNA (332 nucleotides) under soil metagenome. RNAcentral's name for it is "partial contains 5.8S ribosomal RNA, internal transcribed spacer 2, and large subunit ribosomal RNA". The stretch from base 1 to 120 matches the Rfam family "5.8S ribosomal RNA", at positions 35 to 154 of the family's 154-position model. The record is from RNAcentral.
GAUGAAGAACGUAGCGAAAUGCGAUAAGUAAUGUGAAUUGCAGAAUUCAGUGAAUCAUCGAAUCUUUGAACGCACAGUGCGCCCGCCAGUAUUCUGGCGGGCAUGCCUGUCCGAGCGUCAUUUCAACCAUCAAGCCCCGGGCUUGUGUUGGGGACCUGCGUCCGACGCAGGCCCUGAAAACCAGUGGCGGGCUCGCUGUCCACACCGAGCGUAGUAACUAACCUCGCUAUGGAGUGGCGCGGGCGCCUGCCGUAAAACCCCCAAUUUCACAAGGUUGACCUCGGAUCAGGUAGGAAUACCCGCUGAACUUAAGCAUAUCAAUAAGCGGAGGA